Molecule: ribosomal RNA, 253 nt
Filed under: uncultured bacterium
Lineage: Bacteria
Description: partial 16S ribosomal RNA
Rfam family: Bacterial small subunit ribosomal RNA
Source: RNAcentral
UACGUAGGGGGCAAGCGUUGUUCGGAUUCAUUGGGCGUAAAGGGUGCGUAGGUGGCGCGCUAAGUCAGGUGUGAAAUUUCGGAGCUUAACUCCGAAACUGCAUUUGAUACUGGCGUGCUUGAGGACUGGAGAGGAGACUGGAAUUCAUGGUGUAGCAGUGAAAUGCGUAGAGAUCAUGAGGAAGACCAGUGGCGAAGGCGGGUCUCUGGACAGUUCCUGACACUGAGGCACGAAGGCCAGGGGAGCAAACGGG